This is a non-coding RNA of Mycena haematopus, 91 nucleotides long. NCBI's taxonomy places the organism in Eukaryota, Fungi, Basidiomycota, Agaricomycetes, Agaricales, Mycenaceae. The record is from the annotation of a GenBank genome assembly.
GCCCCUAUGGACAAGUGGUAUGUCGCCCAGAUAUGUUGUCAGACAAACAUUUACACUUUGGGAGGUGAGGGUUCGAUUCCCUCUAAGUGCA